RNAcentral lists this ribosomal RNA (473 nucleotides) under uncultured bacterium. RNAcentral's name for it is "bacterial SSU rRNA". It matches the Rfam family "Bacterial small subunit ribosomal RNA", at positions 32 to 526 of the family's 1533-position model. The record is from RNAcentral.
AAGUAACGCUAGCUAUAUGCUUAACACAUGCAAGUCGAACGUUGUUUUCGGGCGCGCUUGUCUCGCCUUGAGAACAAAGUGGCGAACGGGUGCGUAACGCGUGGGAACGUGCCCUUUACUACGGAAUAGCCCAGGGAAACUUGGAUUAAUACCGUAUACGCCCUUCGGGGGAAAGAAUUUCGGUGAAGGAUCGGCCCGCGUUGGAUUAGGUAGUUGGUGGGGUAAUGGCCUACCAAGCCGACGAUCCAUAGCUGGUUUGAGAGGAUGAUCAGCCACACUGGGACUGAGACACGGCCCAGACUCCUACGGGAGGCAGCAGUGGGGAAUCUUAGACAAUGGGGGCAACCCUGAUCUAGCCAUGCCGCGUGAGUGAUGAAGGCCUUAGGGUUGUAAAGCUCUUUCAGCUGGGAAGAUAAUGACGGUACCAGCAGAAGAAGCCCCGGCUAACUCCGUGCCAGCAGCCGCCGUAAAAC